AACGUAGGUUCCGAGCGUUAUCCGGAUUUACUGGGCGUAAAGCGCGUUCAGGCGGUUUGGCAAGUCGGGCAUGAAAUCUCUCGGCUCAACCGGGAGAGGUUGUCCGAUACUGCUGGACUUGAGGGCAGUAGAGGGUGGUGGAAUUCCUGGUGUAGCGGUGAAAUGCGCAGAUAUCAGGAGGAACACCGGUGGCGAAGGCGGAUCUCUGGGCCUGUCCUGACGCUGAGGCGCGAAAGCUAGGGGAGCGAACAGG
Molecule: ribosomal RNA, 253 nt
Filed under: uncultured bacterium
Lineage: Bacteria
Description: partial 16S ribosomal RNA
Rfam family: Bacterial small subunit ribosomal RNA
Source: RNAcentral